UAGGCUGCAACUCGCCUACACGAAGCUGGAAUCGCUAGUAAUCGCGGAUCAGCACGCCGCGGUGGAUACGUUCCCGGGCCUUGUACACACCGCCCGUCACACCAUGAGAGUCUGUAACACCCAAAGCCGGUGGGAUAACCUUUAUAGGAGUCAGCCGUCUAAGGUAGGACAGAUGAUUAGGGUGAAGUCGUAACAAGGUACC
Molecule: ribosomal RNA, 202 nt
Filed under: uncultured bacterium
Lineage: Bacteria
Description: partial 16S ribosomal RNA
Rfam family: Bacterial small subunit ribosomal RNA
Source: RNAcentral